This 492-nucleotide unclassified non-coding RNA is filed under the name Hevea brasiliensis (rubber tree). The record is from RNAcentral. Lineage: Eukaryota; Viridiplantae; Streptophyta; Magnoliopsida; Malpighiales; Euphorbiaceae.
CUGGUAUGCCUUAAGUGACUGAUCAGCUGCCUCUUUCUUCUCAUUACCAGUCUUGAACUCUGCUCGAUACCGAUAAUAAUCACCUUUCAUCUUGUAGUAAAACACAUUAGAUUCCCCAGCAAUAGAAGACGGUAUGAGAUGCUCAUCGAUGAGAGUUAUAAUAUCACUGCAAAUGGUGGACAACUCCGACUCCACCUUGUGCCUGUACUCCUUAAUCCUCUUCACAUUUCCCUCAUUCCCUUUCGAUUCCUCCUUCAGCUCGAUGGACGACAAGAUCCUCCAAGACGCCCGCCGUGCGCCAACCACAUUCUUGUAACCAACAGACAGUAAGUUCCUCUCCUCGACAGUCAAUUCAACAUCAAGCUUCGCGACUUUCUUCAUCGCCUCCACCAUUUCAUCGUAGCGCUCGGCUUGCUCGGCUAGCUUGGCAACGUAGACGAAAUACUGGCGAUCUUUAGAAGAAGAAUCCAUGGUGAUCUGUUCUGGGUCUGC